RNAcentral lists this ribosomal RNA (104 nucleotides) under Erysipelotrichaceae bacterium. RNAcentral describes it as "partial 23S ribosomal RNA". It matches the Rfam family "Bacterial large subunit ribosomal RNA", at positions 2821 to 2925 of the family's 2925-position model. The record is from RNAcentral. Lineage: Bacteria; Bacillati; Bacillota; Erysipelotrichia; Erysipelotrichales; Erysipelotrichaceae.
UAAGCUAGUAAGACCCCUUAAAGACGAUAAGGUUGAUAGGCCGGGGAUGGAAGUGCAGCGAUGCAUGGAGUUGACCGGUACUAAUAGGUCGAGGACUUGAUCAG